UACGGGGGGGGCAAGCGUUGUUCGGAAUUACUGGGCGUAAAGGGCUCGUAGGUGGCCAACUAAGUCAGACGUGAAAUCCCUCGGCUUAACCGGGGAACUGCGUCUGAUACUGGAUGGCUUGAGUUUGGGAGAGGGACGCGGAAUUCCAGGUGUAGCGGUGAAAUGCGUAGAUAUCGGGAGGAACACCAGUGGCGAAGGCGAGUCUCUGGGAUGAUGCUGACGCUGAGGCGCGAAAGCCAGGGGAGCAAACGGG
This 253-nucleotide ribosomal RNA is filed under the name uncultured bacterium. RNAcentral's name for it is "partial 16S ribosomal RNA". It matches the Rfam family "Bacterial small subunit ribosomal RNA", at positions 524 to 776 of the family's 1533-position model. The record is from RNAcentral.